GUUGCUUGCAAGCCUGCAAUGAGAGGCUUUAUAAGGGCGCGAGACGGCCGAUCGACUCACUGGUUACUGGUCUCAGUCUCGCUAUCAGGUCGGUCACCGCAUAAUCAUGAAGUCGUUCAUCGUUUGCAUUGCUGUAUCCUACCUUCUGGUCGCCAACAUUAAGGCGGACGAGGCAACAUCUUCAUCAGAUGCGGAGUCGCUGAUCACUUCGACGACCCUGUCUCCAGCCUCGAACGAAUCUGACGCGGCCAGGUCUGCCAUCAAGGAGCAGCUGGCCAAGCUCACUGAGAGCUGCAAAACCUCCAGCCAAGCCAAUUCUGAUGAUGCCAAAAUUAUUGGAACUGAAUCAGUACCAAAGACUGAAGGAGAAAAGUGCUUCCUGCAGUGCGUCUACACUGGAUUGGGAAUUGUGAAGAAUGAUCAAUUCUCUGUAGAAGGAGCCAGGCUUUUGGCACAGAAACGAUUUGGAGCUUUUCCCGAAGAAUUGGAGAAGGCCAAUCAACUGAUUGAAACUUGUUCAAAGGAAGGGAUCAGUGAAGAAGGAGGAUUGAAGAUGAAAAGGAGGAGAAGAAGGAAGAGAAGGGUGAGGGGAACUUUGCCGAGAGUUACAAUUACCAGGCGAGGAAUAAGAAGGAGACGGCCGUGAAGAAAGACUCCAAAGACAAGUGCCCAAUGGGCUUCCUCAUCAGACAGUGUUUCGUCAAGAACGGCCAGAAGAUAAACUUCUUUCCUAAAGCCUAACAACUUGCUCUGGAAGACAACUUAAUUACUUCUAUAAAGGAAAUCGACAGGCACAAAUGAACUUGGAAUACUUGAAUAUCUAUCGAACAAAAUUUAGUCUAGUUGAUGAAUAUAAAUAACAUCUUUAUUUUAUACGGUACUGAACUGACUGCUCAUUAUUUUUGUUAGAAGUUAUUUAUUUGUAAUAAAUAUAUGUGAUGCAUUGUUU
RNAcentral lists this unclassified non-coding RNA (949 nucleotides) under Nilaparvata lugens (brown planthopper). RNAcentral's name for it is "uncharacterized LOC111060128, transcript variant X1". The record is from RNAcentral. Lineage: Eukaryota; Metazoa; Arthropoda; Insecta; Hemiptera; Delphacidae.